RNAcentral lists this microRNA precursor (65 nucleotides) under Schmidtea mediterranea. Its description in RNAcentral is "Sme-Mir-190-P19_pre stem-loop". Lineage: Eukaryota; Metazoa; Platyhelminthes; Tricladida; Dugesiidae. The record is from RNAcentral.
CGAUAUGUGGUAAUUUGGAUGACAUAAUUAACUUUGUAAUCUCAUCCAUCUUAUCAUUUAUCAAA